GACGAACCGUGCGAACGUUGUUCGGAAUCACUGGGCUUAAAGGGCGCGUAGGCGGCUUGCCAAGUCGGUGGUGAAAUCCUGCAGCUUAACUGUAGAAGUGCCUCCGAUACUGGCGAGCUCGAGGGAGGUAGGGGUCUGUGGAACUUCUGGUGGAGCGGUGAAAUGCGUUGAUAUCAGAAGGAACGCCGGUGGUGAAAGCGACGGACUGGACCUCAUCUGACGCUGAGGCGCGAAAGCUAGGGGAGCAAAUGGG
RNAcentral lists this ribosomal RNA (253 nucleotides) under uncultured bacterium. Its description in RNAcentral is "partial 16S ribosomal RNA". It matches the Rfam family "Bacterial small subunit ribosomal RNA", at positions 524 to 776 of the family's 1533-position model. The record is from RNAcentral.